GCUUACCUUACUUGAACAUGAUCUGUUCUAUAGGCUCGUACCGCUGCAUCCUUUACCAAUAAGGAGGCAAGCACUUCAGUCUGGUUGAUGCAUUCUGACCUCUGGGUCAGAGCGUGAUUAACGGCCAGUAUACCCCUGAUGCGGGCAAUCCAACAGAUGUAGAGGAUCGUUCCUGCCUGGCUCUUGCCUAUGCAGGGUGGCUCAGAGGUUGUCUGACAGACU
Molecule: non-coding RNA, 222 nt
Organism: Triticum aestivum (bread wheat)
Lineage: Eukaryota; Viridiplantae; Streptophyta; Magnoliopsida; Poales; Poaceae
Source: Rfam